Molecule: non-coding RNA, 73 nt
Organism: Odocoileus virginianus texanus
Lineage: Eukaryota; Metazoa; Chordata; Mammalia; Artiodactyla; Cervidae
Source: the annotation of a RefSeq genome assembly
UCCCUGAUGGUCCAGUGGUUAGGACUUGGCACCCUCACUUCCAGGGCCCCAGGUUCAAUUCCUGGUCCAGGAG